AUCAUCUUUGGCACAAACAAAAUUUGGGAAGCAUAUUCACACAAAAACACCAUUCGGUAGUCACUCUCCUUUGCUGUUCUUCCAUUCCAGGGUUUAAGCGCGCCCUCUCUCUUCCCAUUGAAAAUGUGACGUCCUCCGCUGUCGCCGCCGCCGCCGCCCGCGUCACACGAGCGCUCUCCGUCACCGCUCGUCGCAUGAGCUCCCUCCACCGCCGCUCUCAUCGCGUUUGUUCCCUUCGUCGCCAUCGUCCCACGAGCUCUCUCUGUUGUGCUCUUGUCUUACGAGCUCCCUCCGCCGCCGCUCUCGUCACUGCUUCUUCUCUCAUCGCCGGAGGUUAGUCAUCGUCUCUACUCGUCGCCGUUAGUUCAGUUGAAUACCAAAGAAUACGAUCGAGGAGAGCUCUUAUGUUUGCAAAUCAGCUGUUGCUGCUGCAGAGAACGUAGUUUCUAAAUUCUAAACUCCCAAGGUUCUGGUCCGAGGUUAAUUGCGGUUUCAAUUAGUUUUGAUGGGAUGCUUAUAUUUGCAAUGAUGCUUGGACUUGUUGUCUCUGAUGCCAUUUCUGGGAAGUUCGACUCAAUGAGGAAAGGAAAAAGUGAGGUAGUUGAGCAAAAUCAUACUUCGAUUCUUGGCUGGAGUGGAAAAUUGGGUUCAUUACUAAAUCAACUUGCCAUACCCAAUGAGAGCCUGGGUGGAGGAACUGUUGUAGUGAUGGCUGAGUGAGACAAAGAAGAAAUGGAGCUUGACAUUGCAAAAAUGGAGUUUGAUUUCAAAGGAACAUCCGUCAUAUGCAGAACUGGGAGCCACUGAUUCUGGUUGAUCUUAAAAGGUAUAUGACACUUCUUUAUAUUUUCGUUUGGAAUUGUUAUUUUCUGUAGGUCUAAAAUUGGUUACUUGCAUGCAAUGCUGUGCCUGUGACAUUUCUUUUCUAUGUCAUUUUUAUCUCUUUUUUUUUAAAACCAUCAUUAAAAGAUUGUGAUUCAUUUGCUAGCCUUAUAUUAUAAAUUGAAGCAUGGUUAUAGAGAAAUUUUAAAUAUUCUCUGUUGAAUAAUUGAUUUGUUUUACUGGUAUUGAACAUCAUGAAGGUCAGCUUCUACAAACAAGCCAACUCAGGUUUCUCCAACUUGCUUUCAAAGUUCUUAGGAUAAAGUUUGCCAAUUGCUAGCUUUUCUACAAUAGCUUGUUUAACUUGACUCAUUUUUCUCUUUAAUGUUUAUUGAAAAGAAAAGAAGUCACAACCUCACAACCUAAGUUGAGCAAGUUUCCUAAAUCUACAAAUUGUAUUCACUUACUGAUGGUAUUUUCUCAUCUACUAUUGUUGGAAGCUAAGAAGUUUGGGGUUAAUGAAUUUGUGAACCCAAAAGAUCAUAACAAACCUGUACAAGAGGUCCUGACAGAAGGAUCUUCUUGCCAGAGGGUCUCUUGGACAGAUCCAAGAUCCCACCAUACUUGACUGGAGAAGUGCCUGGAGGCUAUGGUUAUGAUCCUUUUGGUCUCAGAAAGAAGCCAGAGGACUUUGCGAAGUAUGUCAGCCAUCCUUAUGGUUAUAAUCAUUCCCGAGGCCUUCAACAAAUUCUGAUUGUUUGUUACAAUUUCUAUACCACGCUUCCUGUUGCCAGAUACAUGGUGAGACAAUUCGGCAGCUUCCACAUUUACAAGAAAAGGCUCGGAAGCUUCUUGAUAUUCAGUGCAAUGUGUGGCAGAGGGUAGAUAAAAUAUUUCAAAGUGUAAGAUGCGAGGUUGGGUUUCUUAGUAAAAAGGUUAAAAAGUAUUUGUGCUACACAACAUUUCUUGGAGUGAAGAAAUCAGGGCAGCAAUUUCGUCAAAUCUGGUGGAUGAGGUUUAUACCAAGGAAUUAUAGUUUUGCAUACUAGGCUCCAUACAUAAGCAUUGAGAACAUUUUGGAACAAGAUUUUGUAUAAGUAAAAUUGCAACUUAUUGAUUCCAUAAGUGAUUUAUUCAAUAGAAAUUUUACA
Molecule: long non-coding RNA, 1973 nt
Organism: Arachis ipaensis
Lineage: Eukaryota; Viridiplantae; Streptophyta; Magnoliopsida; Fabales; Fabaceae
Source: RefSeq, a predicted model, not a curated record